AUUUUGGACAAUGGGGGCAACCCUGAUCCAGCCAUCCCGCGUGUAUGAUGAAGGCCUUCGGGUUGUAAAGUACUUUUGGCAGAGAAGAAAAGGUAUCUCCUAAUCCGAGAUACUGCUGACGGUAUCUGCAGAAUAAGCACCGGCUACCUAUGUGCCAGCAGCCGCGGUAAUACGGAGGGUGCAAGGGUUAAUCGGAAUUACUGGGAGUAAAGCGGGUGUAGGCGGUUCGGAAAGAAAGAUGUGAAAGCCCAGGGCUCAACCUUGGAACUGCAUUUUUAACUGCCGAGCUAGAGUAUGUCAGAGGGGGGUAGAAUUCCACGUGUAGCAGUGAAAUGCGUAGAUAUGUGGAGGAAUACCGAUGGCGAAGGCAGCCCCCUGAGAUAAUACUGACGCUCAGACACGAAAGCGUGGGGAGCAAACAG
RNAcentral lists this ribosomal RNA (422 nucleotides) under uncultured bacterium. RNAcentral's name for it is "partial 16S ribosomal RNA". It matches the Rfam family "Bacterial small subunit ribosomal RNA", at positions 361 to 775 of the family's 1533-position model. The record is from RNAcentral.